RNAcentral lists this transfer RNA (72 nucleotides) under Phrynosoma platyrhinos (Desert horned lizard). RNAcentral describes it as "tRNA-OTHER". The record is from RNAcentral. Lineage: Eukaryota; Metazoa; Chordata; Lepidosauria; Squamata; Phrynosomatidae.
ACCAGCAUGGUGUAGUGGUUUGAGCAUUGGACUAUGACUCUGGAGACCAGGGUUUGAAUCCCUGCUCAGCCA